GGACGAACGCUGGCGGCGUGCCUAACACAUGCAAGUCGAGCGAGGAGAGUCCUUCGGGAUGAUCCUAGCGGCGGACGGGUGAGUAACACGUGGGCAACCUGCCUCAUAGAGAGGAAUAGCCUUCCGAAAGGGAGAUUAAUACCUCAUAACAUUGCAGUUUCGCAUGGAACAGCAAUUAAAGGAGUAAUCCGCUAUGAGAUGGGCCCGCGGCGCAUUAGCUAGUUGGUGAGGUAACGGCUCACCAAGGCGACGAUGCGUAGCCGACCUGAGAGGGUGAUCGGCCACAUUGGGACUGAGACACGGCCCAGACUCCUACGGGAGGCAGCAGUGGGGAAUAUUGCACAAUGGGGGAAACCCUGAUGCAAGCAACGCCGCGUGAGUGAUGACGGCCUUCGGGUUGUAAAGCUCUGUCUUCAGGGACGAUAAUGACGGUACCUGAGGAGGAAGCCACGGCUAACUACGUGCCAGCAGCCGC
Molecule: ribosomal RNA, 475 nt
Filed under: uncultured bacterium
Lineage: Bacteria
Description: bacterial SSU rRNA
Rfam family: Bacterial small subunit ribosomal RNA
Source: RNAcentral